RNAcentral lists this ribosomal RNA (497 nucleotides) under uncultured bacterium. RNAcentral describes it as "partial 16S ribosomal RNA". It matches the Rfam family "Bacterial small subunit ribosomal RNA", at positions 28 to 507 of the family's 1533-position model. The record is from RNAcentral.
GACGAACGCUGGCGGCGUGCCUAAUACAUGCCAGUUGAGCGCUGAAGGUUGGUACUUGUCCCAACUGGAUGAGCAGCGAACGGGUGAGUAACGCGUGGGGAAUCUGCCUUUGAGCGGGGGACAACAUUUGGAAACGAAUGCUAAUACCGCAUAAAAACUUUAAACACAAGUUUUAAGUUCGAAAGAUGCAAUUGCAUCACUCAAAGAUGAUCCCGCGUUGUAUUAGCUAGUUGGUGAGGUAAAGGCUCACCAAGGCGAUGAUACAUAGCCGACCUGAGAGGGUGAUCGGCCACAUUGGGACUGAGACACGGCCCAAACUCCUACGGGAGGCAGCAGUAGGGAAUCUUCGGCAAUGGACGAAAGUCUGACCGAGCAACGCCGCGUGAGUGAAGAAGGUUUUCGGAUCGUAAAACUCUGUUGGUAGAGAAGAACGUUGGUGAGAGUGGAAAGCUCAUCAAGUGACGGUAACUACCCAGAAAGGGACGGCUAACUACGUG